RNAcentral lists this ribosomal RNA (253 nucleotides) under uncultured bacterium. RNAcentral describes it as "partial 16S ribosomal RNA". It matches the Rfam family "Bacterial small subunit ribosomal RNA", at positions 524 to 776 of the family's 1533-position model. The record is from RNAcentral.
UACGGAGGGGGCUAGCGUUGUUCGGGAUUACUGGGCGUAAAGCGCACGUAGGCGGCUUUGUAAGUUAGAGGUGAAAGCCCAGGGCUUAACCUUGGAAUUGCCUUUAAGACUGCAUCGCUAGAAUUGUGGAGAGGUAAGUGGAAUUCCGAGUGUAGAGGUGAAAUUCGUAGAUAUUCGGAAGAACACCAGUGGCGAAGGCGACUUACUGGACACAUAUUGACGCUGAUGUGCGAAAGCGUGGGGAGCAAACAGG